This 468-nucleotide ribosomal RNA is filed under the name uncultured bacterium. RNAcentral describes it as "partial 16S ribosomal RNA". It matches the Rfam family "Bacterial small subunit ribosomal RNA", at positions 28 to 507 of the family's 1533-position model. The record is from RNAcentral.
GACGAACGCUGGCGGCGCGCCUAACACAUGCAAGUCGAACGGAGCUGAGAGAAGCUUGCUUUUCUUAGCUUAGUGGCGAACGGGUGAGUAACGCGUGAGUAACCUGCCCUGGAGUGGGGGACAACAGUUGGAAACGACUGCUAAUACCGCAUAAGCCCACGAUCCGGCAUCGGAUUGAGGGAAAAGGAUUUAUUCGCUUCAGGAUGGACUCGCGUCCAAUUAGCUAGUUGGUGAGGUAACGGCCCACCAAGGCGACGAUUGGUAGCCGGACUGAGAGGUUGAACGGCCACAUUGGGACUGAGACACGGCCCAGACUCCUACGGGAGGCAGCAGUGGGGGAUAUUGCACAUUGGGGGAAACCCUGAUGCAGCGACGCCGCGUGGAGGAAGAAGGUUUUCGGAUUGUAAACUCCUGUCGUUAGGGACGAUAAUGACGGUACCUAACAAGAAAGCACCGGCUAACUACGUG